GGAGGAGUGCCCGAGUGGACAAAGGGAACAGACUGUAAAUCUGCCGACCGAAAGGUCUACGUAGGUUCGAAUCCUACUUCCUCCA
RNAcentral lists this transfer RNA (85 nucleotides) under Candidatus Azoamicus ciliaticola. It matches the Rfam family "tRNA". From Rfam's summary of the family: Transfer RNA (tRNA) molecules are approximately 80 nucleotides in length. Lineage: Bacteria; Pseudomonadati; Pseudomonadota; Gammaproteobacteria; Candidatus Azoamicaceae. RNAcentral also lists the same sequence under 1 other name. The record is from Rfam by way of RNAcentral.